This 315-nucleotide ribosomal RNA is filed under the name uncultured eukaryote. RNAcentral's name for it is "partial 18S ribosomal RNA". It matches the Rfam family "Eukaryotic small subunit ribosomal RNA", at positions 1470 to 1796 of the family's 1831-position model. The record is from RNAcentral.
CCCUUAGAUGUUCUGGGCCGCACGCGCGCUACACUGAUCGGUGCAACAAGCAUCCGUCCUUGGCCGACAGGCCCGGGCAAUCUUUGAACGCUGGUCGUGAUGGGGAUAGACUUUUGCAAUUUUUGGUCUUCAACGAGGAAUUCCUAGUAAACGCAAGUCAUCAACUUGCAUUGAUUACGUCCCUGCCCUUUGUACACACCGCCCGUCGCACCUACCGAUUGAAUGGUCCGGUGAAGCCUCCGGAUUGGCGCGCACCUCGGUGCCGCCGAGAAGUUGGCUAAACCUUACCAUUUAGAGGAAGGUGAAGUCGUANCA